RNAcentral lists this unclassified non-coding RNA (300 nucleotides) under plant metagenome. RNAcentral describes it as "partial contains small subunit ribosomal RNA, internal transcribed spacer 1, and 5.8S ribosomal RNA". The record is from RNAcentral.
UUUCCGUAGGUGAACCUGCGGAAGGAUCAUUAUUGAAUAAACAGGCGUGGUUGUAGCUGGUCCUCGGGCCUGUGCACGCCCGUCUACUUUAUAUCUCCACCUGUGCACCCUUUGUAGACCUGGACGAUAACUUUCCGAGGCAAACUCGGUCGAGAGGACUGCUGCCUUUCACGAGUCGGCUUUCCUUGUAUUAUCCAGGUUUAUGUUAUUCACAUAUCCCAAAGAAUGUAACAGAAUGUAUCUUAUGGCCUUGUGCCUAUAGACUAGAUACAACUUUCAGCAACGGAUCUCUUGGCUCUG